GCAGGGGUUUUCCCCCAGGCCUUCUGACCUGACACUGUGCUAUGCUAUGCUCUAUGCUAUGCUAUGCUAUGCUAUGCUAUACCAUCUCUAUGCUGGUAUGCUAUGCCA
Molecule: long non-coding RNA, 108 nt
Organism: Sapajus apella (tufted capuchin)
Lineage: Eukaryota; Metazoa; Chordata; Mammalia; Primates; Cebidae
Exons: 3
Source: RefSeq, a predicted model, not a curated record